GCUUUUGUAUGGAUGCCCCUUUCAUAAUUAGAUAUUUGGCUAAUGGCACUAAUAAAUAACUUUUUUGAGUAUCAUUUGAUACUAUAAUCAUUUUGUAAUUUAUGUUAAUACUUCUAAAAAUUAAUAUUUAGUUUGUACUGAAAAGUGUUAUAUUUUAUGUAUAUUUUUAGAGUUAUUUAUAUAAAUGAGUAAUAAAGUCAUUGCAAAGUAGUUGUUUAUCAACAUCAUC
Molecule: long non-coding RNA, 229 nt
Filed under: Elaeis guineensis (African oil palm)
Lineage: Eukaryota; Viridiplantae; Streptophyta; Magnoliopsida; Arecales; Arecaceae
Description: long non-coding RNA (EGUI_LNC002973)
Source: RNAcentral